Molecule: ribosomal RNA, 376 nt
Filed under: Nematoda sp.
Lineage: Eukaryota; Metazoa; Nematoda
Description: SSU rRNA
Rfam family: Eukaryotic small subunit ribosomal RNA
Source: RNAcentral
CUGAAUAACUACGCAGAUCGCUUCGGUUUCACACCGGCGACAUAUCCUUCAAGUGUCUGCCUUAUCAACUUUCGAUGGUAGUUUCUACGCCUACCAUGGUUUCGACGGGUAACGGAGAAUUAGGGUUCGACUCCGGAGAGGGAGCCUGAGAAACGGCUACCACUUCUAAGGAAGGCAGCAGGCGCGCAAAUUACCCACUCUCGGCACGAGGAGGUAGUGACGAAAAAUAACGAGAUAACCCGCUCUAGCGAGUUAUCAUUGGAAUGAGUACAAUCUAAAUCCUUUAACGAGGACCUAGCGGAGGGCAAGUCUGGUGCCAGCAGCCGCGGUAAUUCCAGCUCCGCCAGUGUAUAUCUAUGCUGCUGCGGUUAAAAAG